AUGUUUCUCCCGUGCUGGAUGCUUCCUGCCCUUGAACAUCUUCAGCUUUUGGACUCUUGGACUUACACCAGUGGUUUGCCAGGGGCUCUCAGGGGCUCACAGACUGAGGGCUGCGCUGUCAGCUUCCCUACCUUUGAGGCUUUGGGACUCAGACUGGCUUCCUUGCUCCUCAGCUUUCAGAUGGCCUAUUGUGGGACUUCACCUUGUGAUCAUGCUCUGUGUUCCUGUGCAGCUUCUGUCAGGAUGACGUUUGGCUUUGAGACAGAAAACACCAAAUGCCAUGGGCUGGAACAGUGUGGACACCUAUUUCUCUUCCUCCAGUCUCAGCCAAGGUCAGUGUUACGGCUUCACAAGCACUGAAACCCAGGCUUUGCCAUCUUUUCCCUUCACCACUCAGCGUUUGGUGUCUGGAGGUCAGUGCUGAGUGGCACAUCCACAUUCCAGCAGCAGGAAGGAAAGGCAGCGCAGAGGGGGCACAUCCCACCCUCUAAGGAGAUGUCCUUCCAUGUUCCACUGCCAGGCCACAGGCGGUGGCCUCACAGAGCUGCAAAGCAUGUGGGGAGGAAGUCUGUUCUCCUGGUCAGCCAAGUAUCCAGCUAAAAAUGAGGGCUCUUGCCACCAAGGCAGAGGGAGCAGGCAGGUGUCUGGGUGGUGCCUGGCGCUCCUUGCUAUGCUGUGAUUGAGGGUUCUUUCAACAGUGGCCCCCUGACCCCGAGCUGUGAUUACUGGGCCACCCAUCAGUCCCACUCAGUUACCAAUCCUAUCACAGUAGACUGGCAAACACUUCCUUAAUCAAACCAGGACGUGUUCACUGGAUACCUUCAAGUCCCAUUCCACGCUGCAGGGUGCACUUCCUUAGCCAGGACAUUCACAGGCUGAAUGGACAUGAUAACACCCAGACAAGACAAGCAGGAGGUAUGUUUGUUCCCUUCAUUCCAGGGUUAACUUCUUGGACAAAUAUUGCUAGCUCCAGAGCAUGGCAGGAUGACACUGCCCUCAUGGAGCUUACAGUCUAGCUGGGAAAACAGGUGAAAAAUGAAUCUCCUCAGGCCAAAAAUGUGUAAUCAGGCUCCACACUUAUCUUUCAAGGGACAGGAAAUAUGGUAGUAAGGGAAAGACCCCAGGAAGGAACCCUUGGGGGACAUUCUAUAAGAAGAAUCUCGACCAGGUGUGGUGGCUCACGCCUGUAAUCCCAGCACUUUGGGAGGCCGAGGAGGGUGGAUCACAAGGGCAAGAGAUCGAGACCAUCCUGGUCAACAUGGUGAAACCCUGUCUCUACUAAAAAUACAAAAAAUCAGCUGGGCAUGGUGGUGCGUGCCUGUAAUCCCAGCUACUCAGGAGGCUGAGGCAGGAGAAUUGCCUGAACCCAGGAGGCGGAGGUUGAGGUGAGCCGAGAUCGCGCCAUUGCACUCCAGCCUGGGCAACAAGAGCGAAACUCCGUCUCAAAAAAAAAAAAGAAUCUCCUGAACUGUUCGAAAAUAUCAAUGUAAUAAAAACAAGGACUGUUCUAGAUUAAAAGAGACUAAAGCUAUACAACAACCAGAUGCAAAAUGUGAAUGUUGAUUGGGUUCUGUUGAAAAAAGAAGUUAUAGGCCGGGUGCGGUGGCUCAAGCCUGUAAUCCCAGCACUUUGGGAGGCCGAGGCGGGUGGAUCACAAGGUCAAGAGAUCGAGACCAUCCCGGUCAACAUGGUGAAACCCCGUCUCUACUAAAAAUACAAAAAAUUAGCUGGGCAUGGUGGUGCGUGCCUGUAAUCCCAGCUACUCAGGAGGCUGAGGCAGGAGAAUUGCCUGAACCCAGGAGGCGGAGGUUGAGGUGAGCCGAGAUCGCGCCAUUGCACUCCAGCCUGGGUAACAAAAGCGAAACUCCGUCUCAAAAAAAAAAAAGAAAAAAGAAGUUAUAAUUAGAACAUACGAAUAUAAUAAGUGAUGCUAUGGCGUUACUUUCAGUAUCCAUAGAUGCUGCAUCCGAAGAUUCAACCAACUUCAGAUCUAAAAUAUUUUAGAGGAAAAAUAAAAAUAAUCCAACAAUAAAGGUAAUACAAAUAUAAACAAUAUAGUAUAGCAACUAUUUACAUUGUCUUAGGCAUUGUAAGUAAUCUAGAGAUUAUAUUAAUGUUACUGUUUUUUAAAACUUUACUUUUUUUUGAGCCAACAUCACACCACUGUAAUCCAGCCUGUAAUCCUGACAGAGCAAGACUCCGUCUCAAAAAUUAGAUUAAUUAAUUAAUUAAAGCAUAGAGGAAGAUAUGGAAAUACUAUGCCACUUUCUAUUCAGGACUUGAGCAUUCAUGUAUUUUGGUAUCCACCGGAUCCUCCCUUCUCAGCCUCCCAAAUAGCUGGAACUAAUGCCCAGUGGGCACCAAGGGAUGACAGUAUUGUUAAUUUUCUUAGCUGCGACAAUGGUAAAGUGGUUUUAUAUGAAAACUUGCCGGCUGGAUGUGGUGGUUCACAUCUGUGAUCUCAGCACUUUGGGAGGCUGAGGUGGGCAGAUCGCUUGAGCACAGAAGUUUGAGACCAGCCUGAGCAACAGGGUGAAACCCUGCCUUUCCACAAAAAAAAAAAAAAAGCCAGGUGCAGGGGCCAGUGCCUGUAGUCCCAGCAGCUACUUGGGAGGCUGAGGUAGGAGGAUUGCUUGAACCCAGGAGGUGGAGGCUUCAGUGAGCAGUGACUGCACCACUGCACUCCAUCCUGGGUGACAGAGCAAGCAAGACCUUGUCUCAAGAAAAAGGAAAAGUAAAACUUUAAAAGUUUUUCCAAAAUGCAUACUGAAGUAUUUAGAGAUGAAGUAUUUAUUUUGCCUGCAACUUACUUUCCAAAGUUGGCAACAAAAAAAAAAAGUAGACAAAAAAAUAGAUACAGGGAGAGAGUGGGAGCAUGUGAGCAAAUGUGGCAGAUGUUAAGGACCGUGGGUGCUCACUGCACUAUUCUUUCACAUUUAUUUUUAUUAUUUGUUUUUUACAGACAGCGUCUUGCUGUGUCACCCAGGCUAGAGUGCAGUGGCACCUAGAUAGUUCCCUGCAGCCUCAAACUCCAGGGUUUAAGCAAUCCUCCCUUCUCAGCCUCCCAAAUAACUGGAACUACACAGGUGUGUUCCACCACAUCUGGUUAAUUAAAAGCAAAUUGUAGAGGCAGGGUCUCACUUUGUUGGCCAGGUUGGUCUUGAACUUCUGGGCUUAGGUGAUCCUCCUGCCCUGACUUCACAAAGCGCUGGGAUUACAGGUGUGAGCAAAUGCACUUGCCAUUGCAUUACUCUUUUUUUUUUUUUUUUGAGACACAGUCUGAUUCUGUCACCCAGGAUGGAGUGCAAUGGUGUUAUCUUGGCUCACUGCAACCUCUGCCUCCUGGAUUCAAGCGAUUCUCCAGCCUCAGCCUCCUAGGUAGUAGGGAUUAUAGGCAUGUGCCACGACACCCAGCUAAUUUUUGUAUUUUUAGUAGAGCUGGGGUUUUGCCGUGUUGGUCAGGCUGGUCUUGACCUCAGGUGAUCCACCCACCUCAGCCUCCC
Molecule: long non-coding RNA, 3503 nt
Filed under: Callithrix jacchus (white-tufted-ear marmoset)
Lineage: Eukaryota; Metazoa; Chordata; Mammalia; Primates; Cebidae
Description: lncRNA (ENSCJAG00000078003.1)
Source: RNAcentral